RNAcentral lists this microRNA precursor (125 nucleotides) under Hordeum vulgare. RNAcentral's name for it is "microRNA MIR1122". It matches the Rfam family "MIR1120/MIR1122 microRNA precursor family". The record is from RNAcentral. Lineage: Eukaryota; Viridiplantae; Streptophyta; Magnoliopsida; Poales; Poaceae.
CUAUUACUCCUUCGGUCCGUAAAUAUUUGUCAUAAAGAUGGACGUACCUAGAUGGAUUUUAGUUCUGGACACAUUAUUUUUUAUCCAUUUGUGUGACAAGUAAUUGCAAACAGAGGGAGUACUAC